GCAAAACCAAAUACAUAUAUACCUCUUUCUCUAUAUAUAUCUAUAUACCUUCUUUCUUUCUCUUUUAAAAACGUAGGAUUCCCAGUUGCUUACACGAUCUCUUCCUCCCAAAACUCCUUCUCCACAUACUUACGAUUCUGGGAUUCAUUAGAAAACUCAUUCCCACCCUCGUUCAAUCUCUGGGUCUCAGUGAUUUCCUCGAACCCAACAUUUACUGGACGGACCGACCCUAUUCCGUUUCCGAAUUCUACUCCGUCUUAGCCGUCCUGAUCCAGGAACUCCUACCCGUCAUGAAAUUCUCCGACCGGGUGGACCCGCACGAGAGUUGUGCGGUGUGCCUAUACGAGUUCGACGGUAGUGAUGAGAUGAGACGAUUGACCAGUUGCCACCACAUAUUUCACCAGAGGUGUCUAGAUUGUUCUAUCAUCUCCUCUAUUCCCGACAACACAACGCUCUAUCUUCCAUUAAUUGUAAAGAAUACAACAUCGAACGUCUCACCGACUAUUAGGGUUAUGCAUCAGAUCGCUCUCUACUCUAAUCUGUUGCUCUCUAUCUCACUAUCUCUCCAUCACUGGCAUUCAACAAGGCUUCCAAGAAGAAAUUUGACAGUGAUCCUGAUUUCAACUAAUGUGCACUAGGCUGCUGUCAUUCUUCAAGUGAAUAACUUACUUUUAUAGCUCAAGCACUUGUGAGGUUUCAUAUUGAUUGCAAUCUAGCUUCCCUUUUCGGAUUCGGAUCUCGAAUUUCUUUUGGGAUUCUAAUAUGUGUAUGUGAUUAACAUUGUGUAAUAUUGGAUUCGGAUAUUGAAUUUCUUUUUCGAUUUUGAAAUGUGCUUGUAGUUAGUAUUUUAGAUUUUGGAUUAUUUGCACAUUUUAAUAUUUGAAUUCUUAAUGGAAUGUGUGUUUGUUA
Long non-coding RNA from Cornus florida, 909 nucleotides. RefSeq lists it as uncharacterized. NCBI's taxonomy places the organism in Eukaryota, Viridiplantae, Streptophyta, Magnoliopsida, Cornales, Cornaceae. The record is from RefSeq and is a predicted model, not a curated record. The transcript has 3 exons.